AUAAAUCCCUGGCUAGGGCGAUACCGUGAUCAAAAAGACGGUUCACGCAGGGCGAGGAUCAGCCAUUGCACUCCGGCUGUACUGACCCCUGAGAUUUUCCCAAAUGUGGAAUUCUCGAUUGCAUAAUUUCUGGUAAUGGGGGACUCCGUUCGCACUCUCACCUG
Salmo salar (Atlantic salmon) is the source of this 164-nucleotide non-coding RNA. The record is from Rfam. NCBI's taxonomy places the organism in Eukaryota, Metazoa, Chordata, Actinopteri, Salmoniformes, Salmonidae.